AAGGCUUGACCUCAAAUCAGGUAGGACUA
RNAcentral lists this ribosomal RNA (29 nucleotides) under Pisolithus tinctorius. Its description in RNAcentral is "partial 28S ribosomal RNA". The record is from RNAcentral. Lineage: Eukaryota; Fungi; Basidiomycota; Agaricomycetes; Boletales; Pisolithaceae.